This is a non-coding RNA of Haemonchus placei, 628 nucleotides long. NCBI's taxonomy places the organism in Eukaryota, Metazoa, Nematoda, Chromadorea, Rhabditida, Trichostrongylidae. The record is from Rfam.
CUCACCUUGGCCAAGGGACUUGACUACGAGAAGGAAAAGCUGCUAUCCUUGACCAUUAUUGCGACUGAUUCUGGAUCGCCACCUCUCUCAUCGGAGGCCGUUGUGACUGUACAGGUGUGUUACUAAAGUUCGUUAUAAAUCAGUUUUCAUGCUACCAAACUCACCUCUCUCACUUUCCUGAGAGGUUGCGAAACCUAACAGUGGAGCUAGCUGUAUGAUUAUACCUCAGAGUCGAGUUGCUUGAAAGUGCAGCUCAAAGUGGGUGAUAAACUUCACCUAAGGCUAAAUAUAGGCGCGAAUUCGAUAGCAAACGUACUGUGAAGGAAAGUUGCAAAGAACUUUGAAGAGAGAGUUUAAAUGAACGUGAAAUCGUUGGAGUGGAACCGGGGAGAGUUGACGUAACCGAGUAACUAAGUUUCCUAAUGUCGCUUAAUUGUGGCUACAGGUAACGUAUGUUGCCUGUGGUUUGGUCUGCGCAGAGCGUUUUCGAGCUGGGAACAGGGUUUUAUAGAAAUGUGGUCACCCUUAUGUAUACGUGCAUAUCACAUUUACGCAUAUACCAUGCACUUAUACAUACACAUUCGGCGAAUUAUUCAUAAUGCUUUUUUCCCAUCAGUUAUAAAUAUUA